GGACUACUGGGGUAUCUAAUCCUGUUCGCUCCCCACGCUCUCGCGCCUCAGCGUCAGUAUCAAGCCAGGUGGCUGCCUUCGCCAUCGACGUUCCUUCCGAUCUCUACGCAUUUCACCGCUACACCGGAAAUUCCGCCACCCUCUCUUGUACUCCAGUCAUAUCGUUUGCGAUGCGCUUCCUAGGUUAAGCCCAGGGCUUUCACAUCACACCUAUAUCACCGCCUACGCGCCCUUUACGCCCAGUAACUCCGAUUAACGCUUGCACCCUCUGUAUUACCGCGGCUGCUGGCAC
Molecule: ribosomal RNA, 292 nt
Filed under: uncultured bacterium
Lineage: Bacteria
Description: partial 16S ribosomal RNA
Source: RNAcentral